This 468-nucleotide ribosomal RNA is filed under the name uncultured bacterium. RNAcentral's name for it is "partial 16S ribosomal RNA". It matches the Rfam family "Bacterial small subunit ribosomal RNA", at positions 28 to 507 of the family's 1533-position model. The record is from RNAcentral.
GGCGAACGCUGGCGGCGUGCUUAACACGUGCAAGUCGAACGGAAAGGCCCUGCUUUUGUGGGGUGCUCGAGUGGCGAACGGGUGAGUAACACGUGAGUAACCUGCCCUUGACUUUGGGAUAACUUCAGGAAACUGGGGCUAAUACCGGAUAGGAGCUCCUGCUGCAUGGUGGGGGUUGGAAAGUUUCGGCGGUUGGGGAUGGACUCGCGGCUUAUCAGCUUGUUGGUGGGGUAGUGGCUUACCAAGGCUUUGACGGGUAGCCGGCCUGAGAGGGUGACCGGCCACAUUGGGACUGAGAUACGGCCCAGACUCCUACGGGAGGCAGCAGUGGGGAAUAUUGCACAAUGGGCGGAAGCCUGAUGCAGCAACGCCGCGUGCGGGAUGACGGCCUUCGGGUUGUAAACCGCUUUCGCCUGUGACGAAGCGUGAGUGACGGUAAUGGGUAAAGAAGCACCGGCUAACUACGUG